RNAcentral lists this transfer RNA (65 nucleotides) under Palaemon capensis. RNAcentral's name for it is "tRNA-Tyr". Lineage: Eukaryota; Metazoa; Arthropoda; Malacostraca; Decapoda; Palaemonidae. The record is from RNAcentral.
UAAUAGGCGAUAGAUUGUAAAUCUAUAAAUAAGAAUAUUUCUUUCUACUCAGGCUUUGUAGUUUA